This 253-nucleotide ribosomal RNA is filed under the name uncultured bacterium. RNAcentral describes it as "partial 16S ribosomal RNA". It matches the Rfam family "Bacterial small subunit ribosomal RNA", at positions 524 to 776 of the family's 1533-position model. The record is from RNAcentral.
UACGCAGGGGGCUAGCGUUACUCGGAUUGACUGGGCGUAAAGGGCGCGUAGGCGGUUUGUUCAGUCCGACGUGAAAUUCCUGGGCUCAACCUGGGGGCUGCGUUUGAUACGUGCAGACUUGAGUUCGGAAGAGGGUAGUGGAAUUCCCAGUGUAGAGGUGAAAUUCGUAGAUAUUGGGAAGAACACCGGUGGCGAAGGCGGCGACCUGGUCCGAUACUGACGCUGAGGCGCGAAAGCGUGGGGAGCAAACAGG